GAUGAACGCUGGCGGCGUGCCUAAUACAUGCAAGUCGAGCGAACAGACGAGGAGCUUGCUCCUCUGACGUUAGCGGCGGACGGGUGAGUAACACGUGGAUAACCUACCUAUAAGACUGGGAUAACUUCGGGAAACCGGAGCUAAUACCGGAUAAUAUAUUGAACCGCAUGGUUCAAUAGUGAAAGACGGUUUUGCUGUCACUUAUAGAUGGAUCCGCGCCGCAUUAGCUAGUUGGUAAGGUAACGGCUUACCAAGGCAACGAUGCGUAGCCGACCUGAGAGGGUGAUCGGCCACCCUGGAACUGGGACACGGUCCAGACUCCUACGGGAGGCAGCAGUAGGGAAUCUUCCGCAAUGGGCGAAAGCUUGACGGAGCAACGCCGCGUGAGUGAUGAAGGUCUUCGGAUCGUAAAACUCUGUUAUUAGGGAAGAACAAAUGUGUAAGUAACUAUGCACGUCUUGACGGUACCUAAUCAGAAAGCCACGGCUAACUACGUG
This 497-nucleotide ribosomal RNA is filed under the name uncultured bacterium. RNAcentral's name for it is "partial 16S ribosomal RNA". It matches the Rfam family "Bacterial small subunit ribosomal RNA", at positions 28 to 507 of the family's 1533-position model. The record is from RNAcentral.